Molecule: ribosomal RNA, 473 nt
Filed under: uncultured bacterium
Lineage: Bacteria
Description: bacterial SSU rRNA
Rfam family: Bacterial small subunit ribosomal RNA
Source: RNAcentral
UGGGGAAUAUUGGACAAUGGGGGCAACCCUGAUCCAGCCAUUCCGCGUGAGUGAAGAAGGCCUUCGGGUUGUAAAGCUCUUUCAGCAGGAACGAAACGGUCGGCUUUAAUAAAGUCGGCUAAUGACGGUACCUGCAGAAGAAGCACCGGCUAACUACGUGCCAGCAGCCGCGGUAAUACGGAGGGUGCAAGCGUUGUCCGGAUUUAUUGGGUUUAAAGGGUGCGUAGGCGGUUUAGUAAGUCGGGUGUGAAAACUUUGGGCUUAACCCAAAGCGUGCAUCCGAUACUGCUGUGACUUGAGUACGGUAGGGGAGCGGGGAAUUCCUAGUGUAGCGGUGAAAUGCGCAGAUAUUAGGAGGAACACCGGUGGCGAAGGCGCCGCUCUGGGCCGAAACUGACGCUGAGGAGCGAAAGCAUGGGUAGCAAACAGGAUUAGAUACCCCCGUAGUCCCUGAGCGGGCUGGCAAGGCGCAU